GAGGGUAUAGCUCAGUGGUAGAGUGCGUGCUUAGCAUGCACAAGGUCCUGGGUUCAAUCCUCAGUACCUCCA
Molecule: transfer RNA, 72 nt
Filed under: Camelus bactrianus (Bactrian camel)
Lineage: Eukaryota; Metazoa; Chordata; Mammalia; Artiodactyla; Camelidae
Also listed under: 2 other names
Rfam family: tRNA
About the family: Transfer RNA (tRNA) molecules are approximately 80 nucleotides in length. Their secondary structure includes four short double-helical elements and three loops (D, anti-codon, and T loops).
Source: Rfam by way of RNAcentral